This 984-nucleotide long non-coding RNA is filed under the name Marmota monax (woodchuck). Lineage: Eukaryota; Metazoa; Chordata; Mammalia; Rodentia; Sciuridae. The record is from RNAcentral.
UUCACUAUGACAACAUUACAACCCUGAAAUGAAUAGAAAUAAGAAAAUGAGGUUAUGGUAUUUUUUCAGUUCUAUCCAUAUUUGAUGAAUUAUAAACUAAUUAGACAGGUAAUAUGGGGAAGAUUUAAAACAGAAAGCAUAUAGAGAUAUCAACUAAGAGGAGAAUAUCCAGAAAGGGCUCAAACACUGUGUGCAACUAUCUGGCUAGCCGACCAGAUGUCAAUCAGUGUAGUUAGAGUAAGCAAUUUUUAGAUAUUUAAACUGCCUACAGGUUUCUACAUUUUAUUCAACAAAGUCAAACGGGAAGGUAGAAUAUCAGGCAAACAAAAAGGCGUGGAAUAGGUACUUACACGCUGGCAUUUUAAUUUUCUUCUUGGGACUUACAUUAUAUAUUAGCUCCUCAGUCAUUUUUAAAUUCCUUGAAUUUCUUUCUGGUACUGCCAUUUGAUUUAGCAACUGGAUAGAAACAGCUGAAAGCAUUUCUUGGUCUUAAAUUAGAGUUGGCCAUGACAAAUGUUCCUGCAAGAAUAUAGGAUGGAUCCCACACAUUUAUCACGGCAUCUGGGCCAUGUUUGUUUCUGUAGGACAGAGGAGAGGAGAGGAAGGAUUCUUAUGUUGGUAAACUGGAAGUCUAAGAAUUACACUUGCCAUCUGGCAUUGGUUUAAUGAAGACACUGGCCUGUCUUUCUCACUUAAUUACUAAAAUGAAGUGUCAUCAUAAAAAGACAAUGAUCUUGGGGAUCUAGACUUGACUAAAACCAGCAAAAAUGAUCACUUUCAUUUAAAUAUGGUUGUAUUUGUUUACUAUGAUAGUCAAUAAGCUUUUAGAGUUCAUAGAAAAAAAAUUCACCUUAUCCCAUAGAAACAUGAAGAUGUUAUAUAAACCCAAUAUAAUUAAAGCAAUUUAUAUAGGGCAUAAACUUCAUGGAAUUUAUAGUCAACUUGCAAGUAAAGAAGGCAACUAACAGAAAUAACUUCUCCUAG